ANNNNUGCAAGUCGAACGUGAAAGUCCUUCGGGAUGAGUAAAGUGGCGCACGGGUGAGUAACACGUAGGUGACCUGCCUUUUAGAGGGGAAUAACCAGAAGAAAUUUUGGCUAAUGCCGCAUACGAAGCACGGUUUUAAGACUGUGUUUGAAAGAAUGCCUCUGCAUAUGCAUUCACUAAAAGAUGGGCCUGCGGAACAUUAGCUAGUUGGUGGGGUAAAGGCCUACCAAGGCAACGAUGUUUAUCCGGUCUGAGAGGAUGAUCGGACACACUGGAACUGAGACACGGUCCAGACUCCUACGGGAGGCAGCAGUGGGGAAUAUUGCGCAAUGGGGGAAACCCUGACGCAGCAACGCCGCGUGAGUGAGGAAGGACUUCGGUCUGUAAAGCUCUGUUAAUGUGGAAAAAUGGUAGUUGGUCUAAUAGGCCGAUUAUUUGAUGGUACACAUAGAGGAAGCACCGGCUAACUUCGUGCCNNCNNCCGCGGUAA
RNAcentral lists this ribosomal RNA (490 nucleotides) under Bacteriovorax stolpii. Its description in RNAcentral is "bacterial SSU rRNA". It matches the Rfam family "Bacterial small subunit ribosomal RNA", at positions 51 to 523 of the family's 1533-position model. Lineage: Bacteria; Pseudomonadati; Bdellovibrionota; Bacteriovoracia; Bacteriovoracales; Bacteriovoracaceae. The record is from RNAcentral.